CCUACGGGUGACAGCAGUGAGGAAUAUUGGUCAAUGGCCGGGAGGCUGAACCAGCCAAGUCGCGUGAGGGAAGACGGCCCUACGGGUUGUAAACCUCUUUUGUCAGGGAGCAAGGUGCAGGUCGGGACCUGCUGUGAGAGUACCUGACGAAAAAGCAUCGGCUAACUCCGUGCCAGCAGCCGCGGUAAUACGGAGGAUGCGAGCGUUAUCCGGAUUUAUUGGGUUUAAGGGGUGCGCAGGCGGAGGCACAAGUCAGCGGUAAAAUCGCGGGGCCCACCCCCGCUGCGCCGGGGAAACUGUGUGCUGGGAGUGCGCGAAGGGUAGGCGGAAUGCGUGGUGUAGCGGUGAAAUGCAUAGAUAUCACGCAGAACUCCGAGCGCGAAGGCAGCCUACCGGCGCGCAACUGACGCUCAUGCACGAAAGCGUGGGUAUCGAACAGGAUUAGAUACCCUUGUAGUC
RNAcentral lists this ribosomal RNA (459 nucleotides) under uncultured bacterium. RNAcentral's name for it is "partial 16S ribosomal RNA". It matches the Rfam family "Bacterial small subunit ribosomal RNA", at positions 338 to 795 of the family's 1533-position model. The record is from RNAcentral.